This 547-nucleotide long non-coding RNA is filed under the name Nicotiana benthamiana. Its description in RNAcentral is "long non-coding RNA (NBEN_LNC033039)". Lineage: Eukaryota; Viridiplantae; Streptophyta; Magnoliopsida; Solanales; Solanaceae. The record is from RNAcentral.
GGAUGGAGCCGUCAAUAUGCUUCCCUUUAGCAUGUUCCGGAUGGUUUUCCAUUUCGUAGUAGUUGGUUUGAUUAGCCGCUUAUUUAUCUAGAAGCAUUUCCUUGUAGGAGUAUUGUGGUGUUUCCACCUCCAUUUCUACUUCUUUAUCUGGGGGCUCUGGAGGAGGGGAGGUUUGAUCAAAGAGAGUCCAUGCUGAUGACUUCUUAGGUGAAGGAGAGAGUUUUUUUUACAAGGAAAUGGACUCUUUUGAGACUUACAACAAUAUUAAUAUCGGCUCAUCCAAGAUAUAUUUAGUCCGGAGAAUGACUCAGAAUUAUACUUGAACGAGUAUAUUUAGUUUCAAUAAAUCAUUAUUCGAGUGGAAUUAAUUUUUAAAUAAUUGUCAUAUUGAUUAACACCACUUGUCAUCAUAUUUGAAAAUAAUUAGUUUUACAAUAUUCUAAAAAAAAUUUAGGUAAAAUGAUCAAUACACAUUUUGGAGAACACGUAUUUCAUCUUAAUUUGUAGGGCGUAUCUUUUGAAAAAAUCUUAUGAAAAUUAAAGUAAC